Molecule: long non-coding RNA, 1650 nt
Organism: Mytilus californianus (California mussel)
Lineage: Eukaryota; Metazoa; Mollusca; Bivalvia; Mytilida; Mytilidae
Exons: 2
Source: RefSeq, a predicted model, not a curated record
AAAAAAAUUUGUAAGGGUUCCGCGGAACCCAGUGUCUUGCCUACUUUUGCUGUUAAUCGCAGGCUCAACAAAAAUGAGGGAAAAAAAUUAAUAAAAAUAUUCCUCUCUAUACUAUCUUUUGAUUGUAAGUAGCUUCUGUCCAAGUUUGGUAAAAAUCCAGGAUAAUUUAUGAAUCUAAUAAAUGUUUUAAUAAAAUGCUUCGCUGGGCGCAGCUUGAUACGACCCCAGAGGUCGAACCCUGAACAGUUGGGGCAAGUAUGGACACAACAUUCAAGCUUGAUACAGCUCUGAAUUUGGAUUGUGAUUAAAUAUUUGACACAGCAUAGGUUUCUGACACAGAAUGAAUGUGGUCUAAGAACUUAAAAAAUUUUAAUUUACCUAUUAUGGUCCAAUAUCCAAAAUCUAAAUACAUAUACGGUUAGAUUCAGCAUAUCAAAGAACCCCAAAAAUUCAAUUUUUGUUAAAAUCAAACUAAGUUUAAUUUUGGACCCUUUGGAUCCUAAUGUAGACCACUUUGGAAACGGGACCAAAAAUUAAGAAUCUAAAUACACGGUUAAAUUCAGCAUAUCAAAGAACCCCAUUAUUUCAAUUUUUGUUGAAAUCAAACCAUAUCAUUAUUAUUUGCUUUUAUAUAUAAAUAAAAAAUAACCACCUUAAAAUGGAAAAUUUUAAAGAAAAAAAAAAGGAAAAAAAAAUCCCCCCCCAAUUUUUUGAACCCCCUUAUGGUUCGUCACCCCCAAACUCAAACCCAGCCUUCCCUUUGUGGUAUGGUACCUUGCAGUGCAAUUUCAGAGAGAUCCAUACACUUGAAAACAAGUUAUUGUCUGGAAACUGUAAAAAUGCUUGUUUUUUUGCCCCUUUUUGGCCCCAAAUUCCUAAACAUUUAGGGCAAUUACCCCCAAACUCAAACCCAGCUUUCCCUUUGUGAUAUGGAACCUUGCAGUACAAUUUCAUAAAGAUCCAUACACUUACACACAAGUUAUUGUCCUGAAACUAGAAAAAUUCUUGUUUUUUUGCCCCUUUAUGGCCCCUAAUUCCUAAAAUUUUGAGGGAAUUACCCCCAAAAUCAAUCCCAGUCUUCCCUCUGUGCUAUGGUACCUUGCAGUACAAUUUCAGAGAGAUCCAUACACUUGAACACAAGUUAUUGUCUGGAAACUAGAAAAAUGCUAAUUUUUUGCCCCUUUUUGGCCCCUUAUUCCUAAACGUUUAGGACAAUUACCCCCAAACUCAAUUCCAGCUUUUCCUUUGUGAUAUGGAACCUUGUAGUACAAUUUCAGAAAGAUCCAUACACUUACACACAAGUUAUUGUCAUGAAACUAGAAAAAUGCUUGUUUUUUGCCCCUUUUUGGCCCCUAAUUCCUAAAAUUUGGAGGCAAUUACCCCUAAAUCAAUCCCAGCAUUCCCUUUGUGACAUGGAACCUUGUGGUACAAUGUCAGAGAGAUCCAUACACUUACACACUAGAUCCAUACACUUACACACAAGUUAUUGUCAUGAAACUAGAAAAAUGCUUGUUUUUUGCCCCUUUUUGGCCCCUAAUUCCUAAAAUUUGGAGGCAAUUACCCCCAAAAUGAAUCCCAGCAUUCCCUUUGUGAUAUGGAACCUUGUGGUACAAUGUCAGAGAGAUCAAUACACUAACACACAAGUUAUGU